CUUCAUUUGGUCACACUUUUUCGACCCGCUUUCCUUAGUCGUGGGCGGAUGCCUUUGUUUAGCUGGGGAGCGGAUUGGAUGGGGUUGACCGAGAUGGCUAGAAACGGCGAAGUGAAGGGGGCUCCUCACCGGUGAUUAGCGGCAAGGCCGGCCGGGCGGAGAUGGCGGGCGACGAGCCUCCUGCGGCGAGAAGGCGUGCUUCACUGGGACGGUUAUAGGGGGGGAUGUUGGUCUGGAGAGGAGCUCGACGAACCUUUCCCAUCGUGCUCGCCAUCAAAAAGCUCACGUCUGUAGCGAAGCUUAUAGUCGCCGGCGCGGGCGCAAGAUCACUCCAUGUAAUGCAAGGAUUGGAGGCAAUUUGUGCUUUCAGGUAACAGAGCGGCCCACAUAUGUUGUUGAGCUGAAGAAAGGGCUCACAUCCAUGGCGAUAACCGGGAGAGCUUCACUGGGGUACGAGCUUUAAGAGGGAUAUUUGGUUCAUUUCAACAUGGAUGGCUUGGUGCCAGCGAGGUUGACGAAGCCAUGGACUCUGCCGUGUUCACUAAGUCCAUUGACAUGAACGAACAUGAGCUUUUCAAGCUUUUUGUCCUUUUGACGUUCAGUCUUGUUACGUGAGGGUGCCUUUUGUUCACCGCAUGACCAAGACUAACAUCGAUCAAUAGACGAUGUACAUCAUCCCUUUGUCAGAUUAUUUUGUUCAUUUUUCCUUCAUUAUUUGUAGUAAAUUUAUUUUGUAUUUAGCUUUUAUAUGUCUCCAUACGUAAAGUUAAAUAAAUCCGUUUAUCUCAUUUUUCAUGUGUUUUAUACGUCCUUACACAAGCAGCUAUAUAUAGUCAUCCUACUUUCGAAUUCAUCA
Long non-coding RNA from Triticum aestivum (bread wheat), 856 nucleotides. RefSeq lists it as uncharacterized. NCBI's taxonomy places the organism in Eukaryota, Viridiplantae, Streptophyta, Magnoliopsida, Poales, Poaceae. The transcript is spliced from 2 exons. The record is from RefSeq and is a predicted model, not a curated record.